AAACUCACAAAAACUCACGGGUGAUAGUAUUCAAUUUUCUUCAAUUAAUAUAUGGAGGCUCUGCGGCUCUGCCCCAACCCUUAAAUAGGGAGGCUCACGGGAAGCUCACAUGUGAUGGUAUUGUUACGUAGUAUUCUUUAAAGUCGAUGGCGGAGUAUUACGCAGAUAGGUUGCACAAGAAAAAGUUUCAAGGAGGGCAAAAGGGAAGGGAAAAAAUGGGCAGUUACACAAUUGAACUCCUACCCUAGCUGAUUAUGGAUUACACAUUAAUCCUCGCUCUAAACAUUGGGGCACUGAACAUUUAAUGAAAAGCUAUCGUGUUUAUAUUUUUUUAUCAUACGAUUAUGGAGUAGUUUUUUUCUUUUUUGUGUGUUUAAUAAUGGUCUGUACAUUGUUUUUCCAGGUUUUAGUAUGGGAUCAGCUAUGAAAGGUACAAACACGAAUCUCAUACACUUCAUGCCUCAAAAGGUGUACAAGGCCAGCAGUUAUUGUAAUAAAAGGAAAGUAGUGUAAGAGGCAGUUACGUAUAGAUCAUCAACUAUAUCAAUGCUUACAAUUCAUUAAUUUAAGUAAGAAAGGAUGAGUGUAAAAGAAGGAUUCUUGGGCUAUGAUUUACCAUUCCCUCAAUCACUGCAGAAUCACUUAAAUUGAUGAUUAGCUGCUUAAAGAUAUCUUUACUGCUUUGCAAUUCAUCAGAGUUAGUAGCUCCAACAAUUCUAGUGUCUUGGAUAUUGCUUGGUGAUACUGCAUGAUAGACUCGAGAUUGAGAUAACAUUCUUCUACCAUAUCUAAUGUCGUGAGAGACACUGAUAAUUUAUUUUUAUGCUGACUCAAACAAACAUGCAUGGCAUUUGGCAUUUAUAAUUUAUUUUUAUGCUAAUUACAAUUUAUUAUGGGUGAUGUAUCAACAAACCUUUCGACCAAGUUUUAUAAACCUACGGUGUAAUAUUUAGUGGUAGGCCAAUGAAAAUCUUUAACCUUUAAAAAGUGGGAGUGAAGCUACUGUAUCUUAUCUACAGUACAACGAAACGAUUCGUUUUACAAGUUACAGAGUACAAUACAUUUUAUUUUUUUCUCCCCCACUUCCCACUACACUCUUCUCUCUCCUCGAAUCCUCUCCAUCUAUGGAAGAGUGAUGCUUGAUCAUUUAUGGAUUGAAGCAACUACUAUUAUUUUCUCUUCCUUUUCAUAGAAUGAUUAAUGUUCUGCAAAGAUAUCUCACGAUGAAGCUAGUGGGGACUCUGGUGGUACUGGCGGAGCAUAUACGCAAGCUAUUAGAGAUGGUGCAGAUGUGAUUGACAGCCCAGUUCAAAUGUCAAAUGAUGGCGUACGUUUAUGUUUGAGCACCGUCAAUCUCUUGAAUAACACAGUAGCCACACAAUUCACGACUCUUAUGUCAACAGUUGAUGAUAAUGAUCACCCAACUCAUGGAUUAUUCACAUUUAGUUUGAACUGGACUGAUAUUCAAGGCUUAACUUGUAAGUGGGAUUUUCUACAAAUUGUUGCAUUUAUGUACUAUAUACAUCGUACUUGACUUUGAAUUAUUAGUGUUUGGAUGCUACAGGAUUAUGAUUAUAGCGAGCUCUAUCAGUGAUCUCUCUAUUCUCUUAGGAUAAAAUACUCUCCUUUGUAGUUCAAAAAAAAACUAACAAUGGCCUUAUUUUAAGUCGAAGUUGAGUAUAGCUUUAUGAAUAAUGCCAAUGCAUACAAAAAGUUCAUAUUUUUUUUAAUUAAGCACCCUAUUGUUGGCUUAAGUGGCAAACCCAACUUUUGAUUGUCAUUGUUGCUUUAUUUAGGAAUUUCAUUGCUACAUGUAAUGAAAAUAAUAUUAGAAUUUAGUGAUACUUUUGAAAAAUCUAGGAUCAAACCAAGAGAUUGUAGCAGUCAAUCAAUAUUCUUAAUGUUUUUAUGCAAGAUCUUGUUGUUUGUAUCAUACUACAUAGUCCAUUACUUUAGUGAACUACUGAGGCAAAUCACAGGACUAUAUGUUGCUAUUUCAAGCAUAAAUUUGAUUUGUCACAUACCCAUAGAACUUUAUUUUGCAUAUUACUUGUUUAUUGAGCUAUUAAAAAGUCACUGGUUUAGUAGAAAAAUGAUGCUUUCAAAGAUUGUGAUUUUAUCGUUUGUGGAGCGCUGACAUUGGACUUGAAUGCGGUUUUAAUUCCUAAUUUUAACAUUAAUGGUUCUGAUUGAGUAUAAAAAGGUUGUAAUUUGAGGUUAUCUGAUUGAAUGUGAGUCUUCUGUGAUGGGGUUAUUUAGGGUUCUAACUCCAAGUUAAUUUAAUUGAGUUUAAUUGGGGAAUUAGUAUUAUUAGCUUAUUGUUUGCUCUAUUAGCUCAUUGAUUAUAUAUUUUUUUUAAAUAAAAAACUACUGAUUAAUGCUGGAGUUGUUGCUUUUUACCAAAAUGAUGUAUAUAUUCUUUGCACAAACACCUAAAUGUGUUUUAUCUAGGGGAUAAUUAUUGUUAGUGCCUAUGAACUUAUAUAUACUUCUAUUUCAAGCAUUCUAAUGAAGACAUUAUUAUCCCAUUAUUGUACAUGACAACACUAAUGUCUUUAGUUGCUCGCAUGUAGUUGUGGUGAAUUUUGGCUUCCAAGGCCCGAAGGUGUUAAUAUAAUGCAUUCUCUUUUUUCUGUUUGAAAAUGUACCAACCGUAAAAGUGAGCAUUCUUUAUAGCACCAAUAGAAAAAUGUAAGAGGAUGUGAGGUAGGUUGUAGUAAAGACUGGAAAUCUAGAAAGACUACAAGAAAGAUCAAUCCUUCGCUGCUGCCUAAAGUAACAUACGAGAGAUCAUAGGUGUAUACAUUUUAAUGGCAUUGAUUCCUACUAUCCUUUUCUUGGUGUUAUAGGCCCUGUCUCGUGUACUACCACAUUUCAUAUUGUCACACUUGAGCAUUAGGUUGCCUUUUGUUAAUUGUCUAAGACAAAAUAAUGAUCAUUUCUUGCAUCCUGCACUGAUAAGAGUUUCUAUUUUGACAGUUUGGCUCUUAUCUCUUAUCACUUCAUUCUGGCCCUCUUUUUACAAGGUUGCACAUCCAAUAUUGUUUCUGCAUCCUCAUCUUAAAUAUUAGAGGUUAUUUACAGACACUAUUUUCAUGCGUCGAUAUACUCUUGUCAUUCCUUAAAGUUAAGACCUUAGUCCUUCCAGCAGCCGAGGAGGCAGGAACUAUCUGGACAGAUCGUUUUGGUUUCACGAAAAUGACAGUUGACCAGCUCGCUCGUUUGGUGGUGGUUUUUCAUUUGACACUUGAAUACUAACAACAUUCUCUGAUGUCUUUGUCUUUGAUCCUGGAAUCCCUUCGUGAUGAUCAUUUCAAGCAGAUUGGCCACAUUCUUUGCAACGGAUCCUUGAAUCCCUUUGCCAGGAACUAGUUCAUUUGGACAUGCCACUUUCUCUAUAACGGAUGUCUUUGAUCCUUGAAUCCCUUUGUCAGUAUCAUUAUUAGAGACCAAUGAUUGUUGAUUGGUUACUCCUACGCUAUUAUCAUUAGGGACUACUUCUAAAGGAUUGGUUCCCGUUCCCUUAUCAUUAUUAUGGACAAAUUCUUUCGAACUGGACACACUUUCUAGAACACCAUCGUUAAGGAUCGCUAAGUUUGGAUUGGAUACAUUUGCAUCAUUCAAUUCCUGCAAGCAUACACAUAAACAGGUAAAUAGGAGUUGACACAAUUGUCCAAAAAAUGUAUCCCAACCAAAAACGUCCAAAAAAUGUAACUCAAACACCCGAACACAUGAGAAGUUGAGUAAACAAUUACAAGCCAAUAUUUUUAGGGACGGAGGGGGUACCUAUCAACACUAAUGAGACAACCAAAGCUUAAAAAAUCGAAAUUACAAGUGGGUUAUCAAAUGCGUUCUUCUUUCAUUGAAAGUACCAAUUUUAAACAGAGAUCAAGUGAAACAGUAUAGUAAAAAAAUCGAAAUUCAAAGCUCAAUCCAUUACCUUAGGUACUUUUGUGGAUGUAGCGUCUUCUACAGUACUCAAGGGAUUCGUACCCGAUUGCAUUUCCGUGACCUCUAAAGUUGUUUCCCUAAUACACAGAACACCAAAAAAUUAAUUUACAAACCUAUCUUUUAAUUGAGUGAAUCCCUCGGAUGCAUCAGUGUAACUGUACAAAUUAAGUCCCAUCAACAUAUAAAUAUACGAAAUUAUCAGGUUGCUAAACUUAAUACAAGAUCAAAUACUACUUUUUCUUGAUUCAAAAUCAAAAAUUUGGGAACAAAAAUCAUAAUUCAGCCAUAAAAACACUAAAAGAAUGCAACAAAGUUUACCAAGGAACACAUGCAGAUGAUGGUAUGAACAAAAGGCGAGAUGGUUUAAAUUUUUCGAAAUUAUACAAAGUUAGAAAUGACAUUAUGAGAACUACAAAACACGAAUUCAAAUGAGCAUUCCACGAAAUUUACCUCUCUGAAGCCGACUCCAUGAGUUGCAGAGAAGUAGACCAGGGGAGAGGGAGGAGAAGGGAAGAAUAUGAACAGUUUAUUUUCUUUUGCGCCUAGAUAGACAAAAAGGGUAAGAAUAUGAGCAGUUGCUCAUUUAACUUUUUACGUUUUUUUUUGUUGAAUUUUACAAAUAAAUACUCGCUCCGUCCCGGAAUACAUGACCUAUUUACCUUAUCGGGCCGUCCCUUAAUACUUGACCUGUUUCUAAAAAUGGAAAUAUUCUAACAAUAUUAUAUUAUUUCUCACUCCACCCCUAUUAACCCACCUACCCCCUACUCCAUACAAAAAAUAAUAAAAAAUUCAACCCCUACUCUACCCCAACCCCACCUCUUAACCCACCUCCCACUAACUACAUUAAAAUAAUACCCCACUAUCAACCACUACCUAUUAAAUUAAAUAAGUCAAUUCAAGUCCCUUAAACUCUGUGCCGGUCAAACCGGGUCGAGUAUUCCGGGACGGAGGUAGUAUAUUUAAAGAUUGACUUGUCAAAUCAAAUGGACUAAUUAAUACUCCCUCCGUCCCGGAAUACUCGAAACGGUAUGACUUUUUUCACUAUUCACAUAAUUCACUUUGACCUUAUUUUAUUUCAAGUAUAUGAAAAAAAUUGUUAGUAUAUAAUAUAUUGUUGGCUUUAUCUUAAUUUAUAUUUUCAAAAUAUUAAUAUUUUAUAAGUUUUUAUAAUAUGUAGUUAAAGAUAUUGGUGGUCAAAGUUGUACAUUGGCAAGCGUGUUCAGUCAAAACGUUGCGAGUAUUCCGGGACGGAGGGAGUACCAACUACUGAAAAAUGAUCUUUGAUAAUUAUCCUUCCCUUCACCAAAACUUCUACGGAGUACAAUUUAUUAGAGUUCAAUGUUAUAUACUCCCUCCGUCCCUUAAUACUCACACCGCUUUUUUUCCGAGCCGUCCCUUAAUACUUGCACCGCUUCUACAAAUGGAAAUUUUUACCAAUAUUAUAUUAUUUCACACACUUACCUACUAACCCACUUACACCCCUACUUAGACCUGCCAAAUAGGUCGGUCGGGUCGGGUUGUAAAAAAUUAUUUUCGGGUUCGGGUUGAAUCGGGUCGGUCACUUUCGGGUUCGGGUUUACAAAUGCUUGUUUAUUAUGCUUAAAUUUUCUCAUAAUCUCAUUUAUUACUACAAAUACAAUGAUUUUCAAUCGGUCGGGUUCUAAACGGGUUCGGUCGGGUUUUGACCCAUUACUUUUCGGGUUGCUCGAGUUCGGAUAAAAUCGGGUUACGGGUCACAAAAUCUUGUUCAAGACCUAGUGUUUUCGGGUCGGGUUCGGGUCGAUUUUCGGGUCGGGUCGAUUUUUGACAGGUCUACUCCUACUCACUACAAAAAAUCAUUUAAAAAUUCACACCCCCACUCAACACUACCCAACCCUUACAUAUUUCCUACUAACCAUAUUAAAAAAAAUACCUCACUUUAACUAACACCCAUUAAAUUAAUAAGUCAAUUUAAGCAUCUUAAACUCCGCACCGGUCAAACCGGUGCGAGUAUUAGGGGACAGAGGGAGUACUCCGUAUAAAAUACCAAUGUGAUUAAGUAAAAGUUUUUAUGUAAGAACAAGUUGGGUUUGGUCCCCACCACUCAUAUAAGGAUAGAAAUAGCAUUCUUGUAACAUAUAAAAUAUAUUUGGGGAUCAUUACAUAUUAAAUUGUAUUAUUUAUAGUAAUUCUCGGAUCAUGGAUAACCAACAUACGAAGUACUUAAGUAAUGCAUCAAUUAAUAAUCAAAGAAGAAAACUUUUGAAAAAUGUUUUAGGGGUUUAUUAGGACGGUACCCGAUACUUCACUUGGGUCUGGAUGUGGUCUCGAGGCUAGACGACGUGCCUUGUUCAUGUCGUGGCUAGGCACUACACCCGUGUGCUUCAUAGUUCAAUUGAAAAAACCAAAGAUUGAAAAAAUGAUCCUUGAUAAUUACAUUUUCCUUCACCAAUACUGCUACAGUUUAUUAGAGACCAAUACCAUAUAUAAAGGAUAAAGGACUUGUAAAAUCAAAUCCUAUGUAAUCAUGACCACCUUUGAGUCUUUGACAUUGCUUUGAAAAACAUUUCCCAAUACAAACACAUAGAAAAAUGAUACGGAGUAUUAUUAAUUUUUUUUGAAACCCAAUACAUUUCCCAAUACAAACCCUCCUUAUUUGUUUUUUUUUAAUUCUUUUAAAACAGAAAAUAUAUUUAGGGGUUAUUACGUACUAAAUUGUAAGUAUUAACUCCCGUUUAAAAUUGUAAAAUAAAAAAUAACUAUGCAAUAAUUGGUUUAUACACCCGGGUGCACAGUGAGCACUGUGCACCCCAUGCAAAACGACGUAGGUUUAAACGUUUUUUUAUAUUUUAAUUAAGUUGAAAAAAAAAUUGCCCCUUUUUUUGUGGAAGAUCUGCCGGGUAAUUAGUUGGCCACUGCUUAGUUGGAUACAUUUUGGUAGAAGUUAAAAAAUAAAGGAAGCUACGGUUAUGAGGAGAGAAUCUUGUAUCCUAAAUUCUAGGAUAAUAUCCCACUUCAUUAAAAAUUAUUAUAGGAUUUAGUUUACGAUCUUGAACGUAUUAUUGAUUUCUUAGUUGAUAAUUUUAACCGGCUUUAAAAUAAAGUGUUAGAUUUUUAAAGAAAAUAUUGAACUUGCAGCAGUCGAAUAAAAAAAAAGUUGGUUUAACAUUAAUGGUGAAUUCAGAAUUUCGUGAUGAUACGGAUUGUCGAUUUCUCCAUUUUUUUGAAUCUACUCAAGAUGAUGGAACUCCAAUUGACGAAUUGGUUGUGGAAGGCAAAGGUAAUUGCGAAACUUCGAUUUUUUAAUGUUAUAAUUUAGGAUAAUGUGUAUUUUACGAGGUUGAAGAUAUAUUCUUUUCAUUAUGAUGCUUAUUAUUUAUGUUAUGAUAUUAAUCUACAUAUUUUCAAUGUUGGUAGUAUAGAUAUAGAUUACUAUUCAUAGAACAUGUUGUAUGGUUGUAAAGAACAUGUUGUAUGGUUGUACAGAACAUGUUGUAUGGUUGUAAAGAACAUGUUGUAUGGUUAUAAAGAACAUGUUGUAUGGUUGUACAGAACAGAUUGUGAUAGGUUUUCCUUGUGUAAAUAAAAGAACAUUUUAUUUGUGCGCGUUGAACAUUGUGACAGGGUUUAGAGUUUAGGGUUUUAAAUUAAUUGGGUAUAAGAUUUGCGGAAAGAACAUUCUAUUUGUGUAUUGAACAUUAUGUACGUAAAGACUGAACGAUUAUUGGUUUGAAUAUGUAAUCAGGUUUUGUUGAGCCUAAAAGUUCUGAUUUUCUUUUAAGGAAAGUGAAGUCUAUUGAAGAAGAUUAUAGUUUGUAUAAUGAUUAUUCGUUUAAACAUGGUUUUGGUACUCGGAAAGGGAAAACCAAAAAGAGGGCUGAUAAUGUUACAGUCAGGCAGAAGUUUUUCGUGUGUUCUUAUGAAGGUUUUAAGAAGAAAAAAGGAAUUGAACCCGAGGUAUAUCUAAAGAGAGAUUUUUGUAGUGGAUGCAAAGCUCAUGUUCAAUUUGAUGUGGAUAAAGAAACUGUUCUGUAUAUCCUGGUGAAGCAUAAUAUGGAGCACAAUCAUAGUAGAGUUCCUGUUUCGAAGAGGCAUUUAAUAAGGUCUCAUAGAAAGGUUAAGGAAGACCAACUUGUUAUGCUUAGUAAUUUUACGGAAUCUGGUAUUCCAAUCGCGCUUGCGGUACGGGUAAUGAGAAAUGAGGCCGGUGGUGAGGCUAAUCUUGGUUUUCUUGCAGAGGAUGCUUAUGUUGCUUUAUCUGGUCAGAAAAAAAAAUUAGACUUGAAGUUUGUGACACAAAACAACUUAUCAAGUGGUUUAAGGAGACAAAAGCCCAUGAAGUAGACUUUUACUAUGAUUUUGAUCUUAACGAUGAGGGCCAUCUUGUAUUGUUUUUCUUCCGGGAUAAUAGGAUGAGGAUUGACUAUGAUGCAUUUGGUGAUGUAUUGGUACACGAUACAACAUAUCGUACAAAUAAAUAUGAUAUGAUUUGUGGUCCAUUUGUUGGGAUGAACCACCACAAAAAAAAUGUUAUGUUUGGUAUUGGGUUCAUUUUGAAUGAGAAAUGGGAGUCUUUUCAAUGGUUGUUUAACACAUUUUUGAAGUCUAUGGGAGGGAAGCAUCCGGUUACUAUAAUGACAGAUCAGUCUGCAGCUAUGGCAAAAGCAAUAAGGAAAGUGGUUCCGGACAGUAGACAUCGAUUAUGCACUUGGCAUAUAGGUGAAAAUUCCAAUAAGCAUCUUAAAGCUUUUAAAGCAAUAGAAGGAUUCAAUAAGUUAUUCGAUACUGUUUUGAAGUAUACUGAUACCAUCGCUGAAUUUCAACAUUAUUGGGAAAGUAUGGUGGAGAAGUAUGAUUGUGCAAAGAGCAAAUGGCUUCAAAAUUUGUACGUGAUAAGAGAAUUAUGGUGUCCGGCGUAUUCCAAAGAUUGUUUUAGUGGUGGUAUUCUAUCUUCACAAAGAAGCGAAACAACGAAUAGGUAAGUAUCUAGAAGACUUCAUAAAACUCAUGGCCUAUGUGACUUCUACAAGUGUUUCAUCGAGGUGGUUGAUGAGUGGAGGAGUAAAGAAAACAAAAAUGAUUAUGAUGGUAUAACCGUUUGAGCAUAUGCAACAAGUUGAAAGGGCAAAAGCUUAAGUCCUGGAAGAAAAAAACAGCAAAAGGUGUGGUUAAAAUGAAAGCCAAAGCACAUGAAGCAGUAAAGGACUACUUUGAAGUACCUGAAGGCAGCACCUUGGCACAUCCAUCUGAAUCUCAAGGAUCUUUGGAAGUUUAUGAAGCUGAUGAUUAUUUUGGAGUUAAUGUUACACCUUUGGAAAUUAGUUUCUUGUAAUCUUGUGGGUUGUAUACUUUUAAGAGUUUAUUGCACUUUACUAAAUUAAUUUAGUCAAAUACGUAGUUGAUUACUAAAUUAUAGUUGAUUAACAUAGACCUUUAUUGAGUAUAGAUGAGGUGACUUAAUGUUAAUGUUCAAUUUCCAAGUUUA
Molecule: RNA transcript, 9415 nt
Organism: Spinacia oleracea (spinach)
Lineage: Eukaryota; Viridiplantae; Streptophyta; Magnoliopsida; Caryophyllales; Amaranthaceae
Gene name: protein FAR1-RELATED SEQUENCE 5
Exons: 7
Source: RefSeq, a predicted model, not a curated record